CUGGACGGCGGUUCCUCGCAGGAACGACCCCGCGGCGGCACCACGUCUCCCGCGGCCGCUCUAAAAUGGCGCCCUUAUCUGCCUGCGCCGCGCACGGAUACCGGCGCGAGGACGGGGAAUGGCGGCGGCCGCCUCUACUGCGCAUGCGCGGGGGCGUAAACCGUCUCGCCUCAGCGAGGGACGUCUGCCUCCGCGGAGGAAAACAGUCCCCGCCGAUCCGUUGGUUCCCCCGUCUCGGGCCAACAUUCAGAUUGCAAUAACGUUGUGAAGAACUUUCACCAGGAAGGGGAAUAACGCAGUGAAUUAAACUCUCCUCAACUCAUCACCGAAAAACUGUGAGCCCCAUGUGUGACCUGAUGAUGUAACUACCCC
Tachyglossus aculeatus (Australian echidna) is the source of this 372-nucleotide long non-coding RNA. RefSeq lists it as uncharacterized. The transcript has 3 exons. The record is from RefSeq and is a predicted model, not a curated record. Lineage: Eukaryota; Metazoa; Chordata; Mammalia; Monotremata; Tachyglossidae.